CUGCGUAGUCUGCCCCAGUAACUCGCAUGUCUCCUCUCUGCCUCUAUAGCCCCCAAUCCGUGCCAUCCCGUCUCCUUUCAGCAUUGUAAAAGGAGCACGAGGUCAAAAGGGGGGCAAGCGCUGAGCGGCUGGAGGCUGAUGCCUGACGGGACACCAUGCACUAGGGAAAAUCUCUGCUCGUUUUCCACCAGGUGCUACCUCGAACUAACGCCUACUCUGAGCCCGCAUUCGCUACAACCGUGGCCAACCAUUGCCCACAAUGGCUUAGGCUGGUGCCUGAUGGGACACCAUGCUUAGACGAGGAGUGCACGCCGUGGAAGUAAUCUGUUCUACGGUUCCACCCAACGGCAGCGGGCUUCCCAGAUACUCGCCUAUCGAGGUAAAUAUUGUUCUGCUUCUUCGAUGUUACUUGAUGCAUGCUAGGUGCUUGACAAAAUGACAGAGUGUGUAUAUCGUCAUACAUGUAUUUAGUAUUAGCCAUUCAGUUGGUAGAUGCAGCUUCUUGGAACUGUUGAAAAUUGGCCUCCGGUGAAGAAUAACAGUGCGCUGAAUAUCUCAACUAUGUAUCAGGUCUUGAAUCCCUACAUGGUGAUCCUAUCCUGAUAUGGAAGACAAGUACUCCAGCCGCUGAUGAAAGUGGCCCAGAAGCACACAUAAUGACACACGUGGUUUUGAUUUAUAGAGCAUUUGAGGAUCAAAUGAGAUGAAGAUCCAGUUCUCUAAUUUCUGUUUUGAUUCAGUUUUUUCAUCAUUUCUACUCAAGGUGGCGAAGGGUUUCCUUGUGAUCAGCGUGGCACCAAUCUUCUGGGUGUUAUGGAAGACCAAGAAUUAAUCCUGCUUUAAAUGUGUUCGUCCUGGAGAUCCAACCACUGUAGUUUUUUAUGUUUGUCGGUUCUUAACAUCUUGGGCAACCUUUGCAGAAAGGGGCUCUUUAAGGACUGUUGCGACAGCGAUCCGGUAAGCUGGCGAUGGUGGUGUAGGAAGUGGCGUCAACAUAGCUGGAACCAAUAAAUUGUCGUCCUCCUUUUUUUGCCCUCCUGUGUUAGCCUAUUUGGGAUUCUAUGUCCAAUUUCUUUUUUCUCUGUAUGAGAGUUGGUUGUAGUUCGUCAAUUACUGGUCGACGAUGUUGAUGCUCAUGUUACAAGGAUAUGAUGUAAGGAGUAGUUGUUUAUGCUUUUGUGUUCUGUUUGGGUGGCUUAUACCUGGCCCGUACGCUGGUGUGUGUGCAUGUGUA
This is a long non-coding RNA of Triticum dicoccoides, 1234 nucleotides long. RefSeq lists it as uncharacterized. NCBI's taxonomy places the organism in Eukaryota, Viridiplantae, Streptophyta, Magnoliopsida, Poales, Poaceae. The record is from RefSeq and is a predicted model, not a curated record. The transcript has 3 exons.